UUCUUAACCAUGUGGUUUCUGUAUUUUUCACUGUAUCAAGUUGGUCAAACUUUUUUGUGGUUUCAAUGGGAUAUUCUGUUACUUGAAGCUGGGUUCUUAUGUCUCUUGGUAGCACCUAAGAGGAAGGCAAGGGUUCUGUCCAGUCCUC
This is a long non-coding RNA of Dendronephthya gigantea, 148 nucleotides long. RefSeq lists it as uncharacterized. Lineage: Eukaryota; Metazoa; Cnidaria; Anthozoa; Malacalcyonacea; Nephtheidae. The transcript has 4 exons. The record is from RefSeq and is a predicted model, not a curated record.